CCUACGGGUGGCAGCAGUCGAGAAUCAUUCACAAUGGGGGAAACCCUGAUGGUGCGACGCCGCGUGGGGGAAUGAAGGUCUUCGGAUUGUACACCCCUGUCAUGUGGGAGCAAAUUAAAAAGAUAGUACCACAAGAGGAAGAGACGGCUAACUCUGUGCCAGCAGCCGCGGUAAUACAGAGGUCUCAAGCGUUGUUCGGAAUCACUGGGCGUAAAGCGUGCGUAGGCUGUUUCGUAAGUCGUGUGUGAAAGGCGGGGGCUCAACCCGCGGACGGCACAUGAUACUGCGAGACUAGAGUAAUGGAGGGGGAACCGGAAUUCUCGGUGUAGCAGUGAAAUGCGUAGAUAUCGAGAGGAACACUCGUGGCGAAGGCGGGUUCCUGGACAUUAACUGACGCUGAGGCACGAAGGCCAGGGGAGCGAAAGGGAUUAGAUACCCCAGUAGUC
RNAcentral lists this ribosomal RNA (446 nucleotides) under uncultured bacterium. RNAcentral describes it as "partial 16S ribosomal RNA". It matches the Rfam family "Bacterial small subunit ribosomal RNA", at positions 338 to 795 of the family's 1533-position model. The record is from RNAcentral.